UGUUUCGGGUACAGCUCUUUCUGUAUCGCUACGUACACAUUCGAAAAGAGAUUCGGCUUCUGUAUAAGAUGAUUCUCGAACUUAUGAUUCUCCUGCUUGAGCUUCAUAUCCGUAUUCUUCUUCGGGACAAGAUGUUGACGCGCAUAUAAGUCUGGCUUGGACAAGAAGUUGAGUUACGAAAUCUAUUCUAUAACAGGUAAACACCAAUAUUUCAUUCAACAAGGACUGGUUUCGUCGAGCAGUAAACAAAUAAUUCUUCCACUUUGCCUGACACACUUGUUUCUAGCUUAGCAGAACUUCAUUAAUUGCCCCCUCAGAUUCUCCGGUAGGCAUGAUCUUCGACUGAAACUUACAAUCCGGAUCCUAACACUGGCCAAGCUACGUAUAGACAAGUUGAACUCCUUACUCAGGUACCAGUGUACAAAUUUGGGUAAGUAAACUAAUUCCAUGAAAUUCUUAAGUAAUUGCUUGCCGUCUUGUCGUCUUGUCUGCGUGCCUCCUAUUUCCUAACAGGAUUCUUAUAAGUAAGUAUUGGAUUUCCUAGUUGAGUGUCGAUUCCCUGUUCCGAGCAUCCACCUUGUUAUCCCGAGUUCUCUUCUUUGAUUUACCUGUUCGAUUCUAUCUUUUGAGCGGAAGUCCUUAUAGUCACCUUAUAGUCAGUAGUUAACCGCCUUGUUAUACGCUAGUUAAUCCAAAGAAUUUGGAAGUCAUAAGUAAAAGCCAGUGGGCAGGAAGCAAGGAUGCCAGGAAGGAGUA
This 756-nucleotide long non-coding RNA is filed under the name Musa acuminata (dwarf banana). RNAcentral's name for it is "long non-coding RNA (MACU_LNC007540)". Lineage: Eukaryota; Viridiplantae; Streptophyta; Magnoliopsida; Zingiberales; Musaceae. The record is from RNAcentral.